Molecule: ribosomal RNA, 506 nt
Filed under: uncultured bacterium
Lineage: Bacteria
Description: partial 16S ribosomal RNA
Rfam family: Bacterial small subunit ribosomal RNA
Source: RNAcentral
AGUGAACGCUGGCGGUAGGCCUAACACAUGCAAGUCGAACGGCAGCACAGGAGAGCUUGUUCUCUGGGUGGCGAGUGGCGGACGGGUGAGGAAUACAUCGGAAUCUACUCUGUCGUGGGGGAUAACGUAGGGAAACUUACGCUAAUACCGCAUACGACCUACGGGUGAAAGCAGGGGACCUUCGGGCCUUGCGCGAUUGAAUGAGCCGAUGUCGGAUUAGCUAGUUGGCGGGGUAAAGGCCCACCAAGGCGACGAUCCGUAGCUGGUCUGAGAGGAGGCUCAGCCACACUGGAACGGAGACACGGUCCAGACUCCGACGGGAGGCGGCGGUGGGGAAUAUUGGACAAGGGGCGCAAGCCUGUUCCGGCCAGGCCGCGUGGGUGAAGAAGGCCUUCGGGUUGUAAAGCCCUUUUGUUGGGAAAGAAAUCCAGCUGGCUAAUACCCGGUUGGGAUGACGGUACCCAAAGAAUAAGCACCGGCUAACUUCGUGCCAGCAGCCGCCGUAA